AUUGAACGCUGGCGGCAGGCCUAACACAUGCAAGUCGAGCGGAUGAAGGGAGCUUGCUCCUGGAUUCAGCGGCGGACGGGUGAGUAAUGCCUAGGAAUCUGCCUGGUAGUGGGGGAUAACGUCCGGAAACGGGCGCUAAUACCGCAUACGUCCUGAGGGAGAAAGUGGGGGAUCUUCGGACCUCACGCUAUCAGAUGAGCCUAGGUCGUAUUAGCUAGUUGUUGGGGUAAAGGCCUACCAAGGCGACGAUCCGUAACUGGUCUGAGAGGAUGAUCAGUCACACUGGAACUGAGACACGGUCCAGACUCCUACGGGAGGCAGCAGUGGGGAAUAUUGGACAAUGGGCGAAAGCCUGAUCCAGCCAUGCCGCGUGUGUGAAGAAGGUCUUCGGAUUGUAAAGCACUUUAAGUUGGGAGGAAGGGCAGUAAGUUAAUACCUUGCUGUUUUGACGUUACCAACAGAAUAAGCACCGGCUAACUUCGUG
This 484-nucleotide ribosomal RNA is filed under the name uncultured bacterium. RNAcentral describes it as "partial 16S ribosomal RNA". It matches the Rfam family "Bacterial small subunit ribosomal RNA", at positions 30 to 507 of the family's 1533-position model. The record is from RNAcentral.